AACACCCCGUAAACGAUGAGUGGUAUGAAUAGGGGGUGUUCGCCCCUUAGUGUUGCAGGUAACGCAUUAAGCACUCCGCCUGGGGAGUACGACCGCAAGGUUGAAACUCAAAGGAAAUGACGGGGGGCCGCACAAACGGUGGAGCAUGUGGUGUAAUUGGAAGCAACGCGAAGAACCUUACCAAAUCUUGACAUCCUUUGAAAACUCUAGAGAUAGAGCCUUUCCCUUCGGGGGACAAAGUGACAGGUGGUGCAUGGUUGUCGUCAGCUCGUGUCGUGAGAUGUUGGGUUAAGUCCCGCAACGAGCGCAACCCUUAAACUUAGUUGCCAGCAUUUAGUUGGGCACUCUAGGUUGACUGCCGGUGACAAACCGGAGGAAGGUGGGGAUGACGUCAAAUCAUCAUGCCCCUUAUGAUUUGGGCUACACACGUGCUACAAUGGACAAUACAAAGGGCAGCUAAACCGCGAGGUCAUGCAAAUCCCAUAAAGUUGUUCUCAGUUCGGAUUGUAGUCUGCAACUCGACUACAUGAAGCUGGAAUCGCUAGUAAUCGUAGAUCAGCAUGCUACGGUGAAUACGUUCCCGGGUCUUGUACACACCGCCCGUCACACCACGAGAGUUUGUAACACCCGAAGCCGGUGGAGUAACCAUUUAUGGAGCUAGCCGCGAAGGGA
RNAcentral lists this ribosomal RNA (672 nucleotides) under Staphylococcus equorum. Its description in RNAcentral is "bacterial SSU rRNA". It matches the Rfam family "Bacterial small subunit ribosomal RNA", at positions 794 to 1463 of the family's 1533-position model. Lineage: Bacteria; Bacillati; Bacillota; Bacilli; Caryophanales; Staphylococcaceae. The record is from RNAcentral.